GAUGAACGCUGGCGGCGUGCCUAUACAUGCACGUCGAGCGAACAGACGAGGAGCUUGCUCCUCUGACGUUAGCGGCGGACGGGUGAGUAACACGUGGAUAACCUACCUAUAAGACUGGGAUAACUUCGGGAAACCGGAGCUAAUACCGGAUAACAUGUUGAACCGCAUGGUUCAACAGUGAAAGACGGUUUUGCUGUCACUUAUAGAUGGAUCCGCGCCGCAUUAGCUAGUUGGUAAGGUAACGGCUUACCAAGGCAACGAUGCGUAGCCGACCUGAGAGGGUGAUCGGCCACACUGGAACUGAGACACGGUCCAGACUCCUACGGGAGGCAGCAGUAGGGAAUCUUCCGCAAUGGGCGAAAGCCUGACGGAGCAACGCCGCGUGAGUGAAGAAGGUCUUCGGAUCGUAAAACUCUGUUAUUAGGGAAGAACAAAUGUGUAAGUAGCUAUGCACGUCUUGACGGUACCUAAUCAGAAAGCCACGGCUAACUACGUG
Molecule: ribosomal RNA, 496 nt
Filed under: uncultured bacterium
Lineage: Bacteria
Description: partial 16S ribosomal RNA
Rfam family: Bacterial small subunit ribosomal RNA
Source: RNAcentral